Molecule: ribosomal RNA, 429 nt
Filed under: Pseudomonadota bacterium
Lineage: Bacteria; Pseudomonadati; Pseudomonadota
Description: Proteobacteria bacterium partial 16S ribosomal RNA
Rfam family: Bacterial small subunit ribosomal RNA
Source: RNAcentral
UGGGGAAUAUUGGACAAUGGGCGAAAGCCUGAUCCAGCCAUGCCGCGUGUGUGAAGAAGGUCUUCGGAUUUUAAAGCACUUUAAGUUGGGAGGAAGGGCAGUAAGCGAAUACCUUGCUGUUUUGACGUUACCGACAGAAUAAGCACCGGCUAACUCUGUGCCAGCAGCCGCGGUAAUACAGAGGGUGCAAGCGUUAAUCGGAAUUACUGGGCGUAAAGCGCGCGUAGGUGGUUCGUUAAGUUGAAUGUGAAAGCCCCGGGCUCAACCUGGGAACUGAAUGAAAAACUGGCGAGCUAGAGUAGGGCAGAGGGUGGUGGAAUUUCCUGUGUAGCGGUGAAAUGCGUAGAUAUAGGAAGGAACACCAGUGGCGAAGGCGACCACCUGGGCUCAUACUGACACUGAGGUGCGAAAGCGUGGGGAGCAAACAGG